This is a small nuclear RNA of Jaculus jaculus (lesser Egyptian jerboa), 102 nucleotides long. NCBI's taxonomy places the organism in Eukaryota, Metazoa, Chordata, Mammalia, Rodentia, Dipodidae. The record is from Ensembl.
UUGCUUUGGCAGCACACAUACUGAAAUUGGAAUGACGCAGAGAAGAUUAGCAUGACUCUGUGCAAGGACGACAUGCAAAUUCGUGCAGUGGUCCAUAUUUAA